CGGGACGUGGCUGAGUAAGUUAAGCAUCUCACUUACACCGAGAAAACACCUAUGCAAGUUAGGUCGCCCCGA
RNAcentral lists this transfer RNA (72 nucleotides) under Rhodeus amarus (bitterling). Its description in RNAcentral is "tRNA-Val". It matches the Rfam family "tRNA". From Rfam's summary of the family: Transfer RNA (tRNA) molecules are approximately 80 nucleotides in length. Lineage: Eukaryota; Metazoa; Chordata; Actinopteri; Cypriniformes; Acheilognathidae. The record is from RNAcentral.